RNAcentral lists this ribosomal RNA (496 nucleotides) under uncultured bacterium. RNAcentral's name for it is "partial 16S ribosomal RNA". It matches the Rfam family "Bacterial small subunit ribosomal RNA", at positions 28 to 506 of the family's 1533-position model. The record is from RNAcentral.
GAUGAACGCUGGCGGCGUGCCUAAUACAUGCAAGUCGAGCGAACAGAUGAGGAGCUUGCUCCUCUGACGUUAGCGGCGGACGGGUGAGUAACACGUGGAUAACCUACCUAUAAGACUGGGAUAACUUCGGGAAACCGGAGCUAAUACCGGAUAAUAUAUUGAACCGCAUGGUUCAAUAGUGAAAGACGGUUUUGCUGUCACUUAUAGAUGGAUCCGCGCCGCAUUAGCUAGUUGGUAAGGUAACGGCUUACCAAGGCAACGAUGCGUAGCCGACCUGAGAGGGUGAUCGGCCACACUGGAACUGAGACACGGUCCAGACUCCUACGGGAGGCAGCAGUAGGGAAUCUUCCGCAAUGGGCGAAAGCCUGACGGGGCAACGCCGCGUGAGUGAUGAAGGUCUGCGGAUCGUAAAACUCUGUUAUUAGGGAAGAACAAAUGUGUAAGUAGCUAUGCACGUCUUGACGGUACCUAAUCAGAAAGCCACGGCUAACUACGG